GUUGAACGCUGGCGGCAGGCCUAACACAUGCAAGUCGAGCGGUUGAAGGGAGCUUGCUCCUGGAUUCAGCGGCGGACGGGUGAGUAAUGCCUAGGAAUCUGCCUGGUCGUGGGGGAUAACGUCCGGAAACGGGCGCUAAUACCGCAUCCGUCCUGAGGUUGAAACUGGGGUAUCUUCGUACCUCACGCUCUCAGAUGAGCCUAGGUCUGAUUAGCUAGUUUGUUGGGUAAAGGCCUACCAAGGCGACGAUCCGUAACUGGUCUGAGAGGGUGAUCAGUCAAACUGGAACUGGAACACGGUCAAGACUCCUACGGGAGGCAGCAGAGGGGAAUAUUGGACAAUGGGCGAAAGCCUGACCAAGACAGGCGGCGUGUGUGAAGAAGUUCUUCGGAUUGUAAAGCACUUUAAGUUGGGAGGAAGGGCAGUAAGUUAAUAACUUGCUGUAUUGACGGUACCAACAGAAUAAGCACCGGCUAACUUCGUG
RNAcentral lists this ribosomal RNA (484 nucleotides) under uncultured bacterium. RNAcentral's name for it is "partial 16S ribosomal RNA". It matches the Rfam family "Bacterial small subunit ribosomal RNA", at positions 28 to 507 of the family's 1533-position model. The record is from RNAcentral.